RNAcentral lists this ribosomal RNA (465 nucleotides) under uncultured bacterium. RNAcentral's name for it is "partial 16S ribosomal RNA". It matches the Rfam family "Bacterial small subunit ribosomal RNA", at positions 338 to 795 of the family's 1533-position model. The record is from RNAcentral.
CCUACGGGGUGCAGCAGUGGGGAAUAUUGCGCAAUGGGCGAAAGCCUGACGCAGCGACGCCGCGUGAGGGAUGAAGGUCUUCGGAUCGUAAACCUCUGUCAGUAGGGAAGAACGGUCACUGUGCUAAUCAGCAGUGAAUUGACGGUACCUGCAAAGGACGCACCGGCUAACUCCGUGCCAGCAGCCGCGGUAAUACGGAGGGUGCGAGCGUUAAUCGGAAUUACUGGGCGUAAAGCGCUCGUAGGCGGUAUGUCAAGUCAAGGGUGAAAUCCCCGCGCUCAACGUGGGAACUGCCUUUGAAACUGGCAAGCUGGAGUGUGUGAGAGGAGAGUGGAAGUCCAGGUGUAGGAGUGAAAUCCGUAGAUAUCUGGAGGAACAUCAGUGGCGAAGGCGACUAUCUGGCACAUAACUGACGCUGAGGAGCGAAAGCGUGGGUAGCAAACAGGAUUAGAUACCCCUGUAGUC